CGGGACGGGGUGGAGUAAUGUCUGGGAAACGUGCCUGAUGGAGGGGGAUAACUACUGGAAACGGUAGCUAAUACCGCAUAACGUCGCAAGACCAAAGAGGGGGACCUUCGGGCCUCUUGCCAUCGGAUGUGCCCAGAUGGGAUUAGCUAGUAGGUGGGGUAACGGCUCACCUAGGCGACGAUCCCUAGCUGGUCUGAGAGGAUGACCAGCCACACUGGAACUGAGACACGGUCCAG
Molecule: ribosomal RNA, 236 nt
Filed under: uncultured bacterium
Lineage: Bacteria
Description: partial 16S ribosomal RNA
Rfam family: Bacterial small subunit ribosomal RNA
Source: RNAcentral